CAUUUUUCAUUGAUUCACAAGAUAUUUCAGUAACCAACUCAGUCACAUAUGCCUCCUUAUCAAAAAUCCCCCCGCACUUGAACUCAACAAUGUCCAAUAACUCAGCCUAAUUCACCUCACAACUGUAGAACAAUGAAUAAACAUGGUUUUAUGGGUCCAAGGUGCUAAUAAGCUAAAAAUUCAUAAUAAAAGUUAAAAAAUAGGCUAAAAAAUGGGCACAAGGGAAAAUUGCCCAAGUUAGGUUAUAUUUGGCAAAUGACUCAAUUCAAAAAGGCCUAUAUAACAUCAAGAAUGCACAUUUAAUCUAGAUAUACAAAACAAUAACAAAAAUAAAAUCUGAUUAUAAGAACCUAGAAAUACAAAAUUUUUUAACAACAAAACAACAAAAUAAGCUAAGCAUGGAAUAAAAGUUGUAAUCUAUCUAAACUAAUUCAUUUACAAGUUUAAAACAGAAAACUGAGAGUAGAAUUUAAGGUAACUAUUGAAAACAAUGAAAAAUUCAAAAUACCACCUAUAGACUAAAAUUUGUCCAGUUUACAACCCAAGAAGUUAAACUAUUAUACUAGUUAACAACUAGAACGAACCUAUAAAUUAAAAUAGACCUAACACUACUAAAAUCAACCAAAAACAACCACUAAGCAUGUCUUAAUUCAUCAAUCAAAACCAAAUAUGCAAGUAUUUACGAAAGCAAAACAGUCACUUAGAAUUUAACUAUGCACCUAGAAUCAUCGUAGUAAAACAGAACAAACAACAUAAGACUAGCGAAUAUAGUAAUUGCAAAAUUAUUUACUCAACUAUUGUUACAGAACAGAAUGAUCAAAGUAGUGUAUAUGAAAAACAUGUAAAAGUUAACCUUCCAGGAAGUUUGAAUGAUUUUGCUACUUGUUGCAGUUCAAAUUUCAACAAUCAAUAUCCAUUUUAAUUUAUUUUUUGACAAGUUACCAUUGUUUUUAUCAACAAUGAAUAUUUGAUUUUAUCUUUUGUUAAUAUUUUCUUAAAAGCAAUCCAUCCUUAGGUUCUUAGAGGUUUAUGCUAUACUAUAUCGAUGUUAAUUAUUGAAGAUUAGCAUAAAGAUAGUUAACAUAAAGAUAUUCAAAUGGGUAGGGAAUGAUUUAAACAUUGUGAUCUAAUAUAUAUGUAACUUCUUUAAAUACACAGAUCAUGACUUCAUUUCCUUCAAGUCAUGGUUGGAUGUAUGAUAGGGUGUAUAAAGGUAGAAGCGGUUUGAAACCUACUUUCAUAAUUGGGGUUGAAGAGUUUGUUGAAAUAGCCUGUCAAUGAAAGGCAACUUAAAUGCCCAUGCAUUAAAUGUGAGUGUACAAGGAUUUAUGAUGUUCAAACAAUCAAGCUCCACCUCUACAAGCAUGGCUUUAUGUCUGACUACUUUAUUUGGAUUGAUCACGAGGAAGCCAUAGAGAAUAUUUCCCAUCAUGUUGACGAUGGUUCAGGAAGUCGUAUACAUGUGACUGAAGGACAAACAUUUAACUCGAUGCAUGACAUGUUGUGUGAUGCUCUUAGACAACAUGGGUCAUUUUAAAUACCAGAAAUAAACUUCGAAAAGCCUCCGAAUGAAGCAACUCAACGAUUUUAUAAUCUGUUAGUCAAGUCAAAUGAACCAUUAUUUGAAGGAUCAUUAGAGCCUAAAUUAUCAAUCUGUGGUAGACACUUAGCAUGCAAGUCGAAUUGGAAUGUCUAGAUUUUAUAGCAAAUAUGCUUCAAGAUGUAACAUCGAUGAAUAAAGCUUUACCUAAAAUUUACUAUGAUGCUAAACGAUUAGUAUCAAAGCUUGGAUUGACUGCUAUAAGGAUUGAUUGUUGUAUACAAGGUUGCAUGUUGUUUUACGACAAUGAAUAUGGGAAAAAUGAUGGAGCACUUAUACGUUGCAAAUUUUGUGAUAUGCCAAGGUAUCAUGAUCGAAACACAAGAGCAAACACAAAAGAGCUUGUUCCAGUGAAAAGAAUGUUCUAUUUACCUAUAAUUCCAAGGUUGCAGAGACUGUUUGCAUCAAUGGAAACUACUAGUCAAAUGUAUUGGCAUCAUGAAAAUAGAAGUAGCUCAGGCGUGUUACAUCAUCCCUCAGACGGUGAAGCUUGGAAGCAUUUUUAUCGGGUACAACCAGACUUUGUAGUUGAUCUACACAAUGUACGUUUGGGUUUAUGCUCUGAUGGUUUUAACCCAUUCAUUCAAUCAACAAUCCCAUAUUCCUGGUUGUCAAUAAUUGUCACCCCAUACAAUCUUCCUCCUGAAAUGUGCAUGACAAAGCCAUUUAUGUUUUUAAGUUGUCUAAUACCUGGUCCACGCAAUCCAAACGCAGGAAUUGAUGUGUAUCUCGAACCUUUGGUGGACGAUCUAAAGAAGUUGUGGAUUGGUGUAGAAACAUAUGAUAUUUCAAGAAAGAAGAACUUUAUCAUGAGAGCUAGUUAAUGUGGACUAUAAAUGAUUUCCCUACAUAUGGGAUGUUGUCUGGCUAGGGUACUCAAGGUAAAUUGGCAUGUCCACAUUGUAUGGAGCAUUCAAAAGCCUUUACAUUAGAAAAUGGAGGGAAAAAUUGUUGCUUUGACUCACAUCGUAGAUUUUUACCUAGUGAUCAUGCCUUUAGAAAGAAUAAAAAAGCCUUCUUAAGAGCGAAAGUUGAAACUGAUGGCCCACCAACUACAAUGACACUUGACUUGGUUUGGGAAAGAGUAAGGGAUUCACCAAUGGCCACAGAAAAUCCUCGUUUGUUGAAAUUAUGAGGAUAUGGCGAGGUUCAUAAUUGGAGGAAAAAAUGUAUAUUUUGGAAUCUUCCUUACUGGAAAGAUAAUCUCUUACGACACAACCUAGAUGUCAUGCACAUAGAAAAAAAUUUCUUUGACAAUAUAUUGAACACUGUCAUGAAUGUUAGUGGUAAAACAAAAGACAAUAAGAAAGCAAGGAUAGAUCUCGCUUUGUAUUGUUGUCACCCUGACUUAGAGAUGAAACUGCUAGCUAAUGGAAAAAUGUUUAAGCCUAAAGCCAAUUACUCUUUAACUAUAGAGGAAGCAAAAUUAGUUUGUCGUUGGAUAAAAGAACUCAGGGUGCCUGAUGGUUAUUCAUCAAACUUGGCAAGAUGUGCUGAUGUUGAAAAGGGAAGGAUACAUGGGAUGAAAAGUCAUGAUUGUCAUGUGUUCAUGGAAUGCUUACUUUAUAUUGCAUUUAAUACUUUUCCAACACAUGUUUUAAAUCCCCUAACCGAAUAAGUCAUUUCUUUAAAGACUUAUGCUGUACGACAUUGAGGUAUGACGAUUUGGUUACAAUGGAAGAAAACAUUCCACUAAUUCUUUGCAAGUUAGAGAGAGUAUUUCCCCCUGCAUUCUUUGAUUCAAUGGAACAUCUCCCAAUUCAUCUUGCAUAUAAAGCUAGACUUGGUGGUCCAGUGCAAUAUAGGUGGAUGUAUCCUUUUGAAAGAUUUAUGGGAGAUUCUAAGCGAUCAAUCAAAAAUAGGGCAAGGGUUGAAGAAUUGAUAUGUGCAUCUUACAUACACCGAGAAACAACUUAUUUUUGUUCCCACAAUUUCAAAGGUUAUAUGUUGUCAUUGCGAAGUAGUAGAAAUGAAAUGGGAGUUGAAACCAACCAACCAUCAUUGUCCAUCUUCAACCAACCAACUCGUCCUUCUGGCAAGCCAUCAAUUCAUUGGUUAACACAAAGAGAAUGGGAUUCAGUCCACGUUCAUAUGUUGAUCAAUUCCCAAGAAGUGAAACCAUACCUCGAGUCAUUCCUUCAAUCUCAGGAAAUACUUGACUCAGGAAACACAGAUGCAUGAAGUCAAGCUAAAAAGAUAAUAAAUAGUGGGGUUUAUGUAAAAGGGAUUACAGACGGAGGUGAAGAUGAUUUCUAUGGGAUCAUUAAACACAUAUACGAGAUAGAGUACAAUACUUCAAGCACUCCCAAGAAAGUAAUUGUAUUUUAUUGUGACUGAUUUGAUCCAUCACGAAGAGGUACAAGAGUGGACUUUAAAUACCAUGUUGCUGAUAUUCGGAUGGAUAAAAGAUAUGUGUUGUAUGAUCCGUUCAUAAUUGCUCACAAUGUAAGAAAAGUAUACUAUGUCUCAUAUCCACCAUCUCGAAUAGAUAAAUGUGGAUGGUGUGUUGUAAUCAAGACAAAACCUAGAGGUCGCAUAGAAGCUACUGAUGUAGAUAAUGAUAUGCCUUACCAAGAAGACCAAGUUUCACACGUCAAUGAAAUCAUAGAAGUUGAACCUAUUUUAGGCUUCCAAGAUUCAGAAAAUGGUGUUGAAGUAGAAGAUGAAGCCAUAGAAGAAGACACAGAAGAAGAGGAAAUUCAAGACUUUGAUUUGGAAGAAUAAGAUGAUGAAGGGGAAUUUGAUGAUCACGAGUCAGAAGAAGACAAUGAAGAAAAGGAAUUGGAUGAUGAUAGUUCUGAAUAGGCAUACAUUGAUUUGUACCAAUUUCUGUUUGGACAAUUUUUUGUUAGAUUUGCCUUUUGUGUGUUAAACUUAUGACUUUUAUUAAGUACUUUUAGAUGAGGGUGGCAAAAUGAUACAUUGUACUUGUUUUUUUCUAAGAAGAUUGAUACAAGACUUCUCUCACUCUUUUAUCAUCAAAUUGAUACACUCCAUAUCCUGAUUUAACUUUAGCAGUAUCCCAUCAAUUAAAAGGAAAAAGAGACUUCUUUAGUAAGGUUCAAUCAAUUGGAUAAUUAGAUAUAUUCAGCAUGUUUAAAAAUAUGAAUAUAGUAAAAUCAUGCUCAAGUCAAUAUACUAGCAAAACACUCGCAUUAUAAAUAGAAUAUAAAGAACUAAUUCAUUGCCAACUUGCAACUAGUUACCAAAUAUAGGAACUGAUAGAGGACCUGGGGGAGUGGAAGAGUAGGUUUUAGAAGUUAAGAAAAUUUUGCAUAUGAUUAGAAAAAAAAAGGGUCGUGGCAAUAGGAAUGGAAACACUAAAUGGUGAUCCGACAUUGGCAACGCUUUGUGAACCAGUGGAAAGGGCAAACUCAAACCAUUCAUUCACAACUGGACUUGCUCACAGUAUGGGACUUAGGUUGAGAAGAUUGAUUUGGUUGGACAUAUCCAAACUCUACUGCUGAAAACAAAGACAAAAAAAUCAAAUUAUAGAGCUGAUGAUAGUGGUGGCAGUUAGAAGAAGCUUCACCUUCAAAGUCAAUACAAGCAAUCCAAAGAUUUUACCCAAGUAGAGUUGCCUCCAAGGCAAUCACAAAGACAAUUAAGCAACAAUAUUUUGACCGAUGGUUGACUUGGGGUGCAAUGUUGGAUGAAGAGAAGGAGGUCUUCUUUCAAAGGUUCAAGAGAAAGGUUACUUGGAGACCUGAACAUGAGGAGAAGAUUAGAAAGAUUUUCAACACAAAGCCCUCUCAUAGACUUUCUGAAAUCUUCAUGGAAGCAAGAAAAACUGGGAAAAAACCUUAUUGGAUGUUUGAUAGAGUAUGGAACAGUUUGCUUGUUCAGUGGAACCAACCCGAGUUUCGAUCAAAGAGUGCUCGUAAUCAAAAGAAUCGAGAAUCUGAGAAGGGUGGAUGUUUGCACACAGGUGGCUCAAUCACCAUCCAUGAGCAUGCCCUUCGCAUGGCAAAAUAGUUGGGUCGUCCUGUACAUUUUGAUGACCUUUUCCACCAUACUCAUGUUCGAAAGAAUACCGGUGAUUUUGUAGAUCACAGAUCUAAACAAACAUAUGAGGAAUUUCAAAUUGUAUUUUCCCAAGCAAGAUCUGAGGCUGCUACUUGUGGUGAAGAAGAAGAAAUAUCUUUAUUGGACCCUAAUGAGGAAGAGAAGUUAAGGAAAAAUUUUGGUUACCUGCUACUGGUGGCAAAAAUCCUAAGGGACGGUAUAUGGGGUUGGAAAACUGAAUGAAAAUCAUCUUUGCGGGGAAGCCUUCACACAACAACCAUCUAGUUCUACAAUUAUGGAUUCACAAAAGAUUCUAAGGUUGGAAGAAGAAAUUUGUCAAUCUACGGAGGAGUUUCGUCAAUCUAGGGAGGAGAAUCAACGACUGUAGAGAAAAUUAGAAUCCCUAGUAACUGUUGUUCUCCCUCUUCUUCCUCCCGCUGCCAAACCAUUUUGCAAGACGUCAAUGAACAACCACAAAAUGAGGACCAAAACCAAGAUGAUGCUCAGGAGAGGGACCACCAUCAUGGACAAAACUCUUCUCAUUAUGCAGAUUAUUAGUUAGGUUUGUAAUUGUAGGACUUGUUGAACUAGGGGUAAAAUUAGUUAGUUUUUAAAUUGUAGGACUUGACCUAUGUAGAUUAUUUGUUAGUUUCUUAAUCUGUGUUAUCUACUUUAUUUUAUAUUUAUUGUUUUUAAUGUUUUGAUGUGAUGAUAUGAAUGAUGUUAAACCUUUGGAAAAUUAUGUUGUUAUACAUGAAUGUGUUAUUUGAAUGU
Vigna unguiculata (cowpea) is the source of this 6379-nucleotide unclassified non-coding RNA. Lineage: Eukaryota; Viridiplantae; Streptophyta; Magnoliopsida; Fabales; Fabaceae. The record is from RefSeq and is a predicted model, not a curated record.